RNAcentral lists this transfer RNA (66 nucleotides) under Basiliscus plumifrons. Its description in RNAcentral is "tRNA-Cys". The record is from RNAcentral. Lineage: Eukaryota; Metazoa; Chordata; Lepidosauria; Squamata; Corytophanidae.
AGCCCUGGGGUGUGAGCAUAUCAAAUUGCAAGUUUGAAGAAGAGCCUUAAAGAGGCUCCGGGGCUU